This 453-nucleotide ribosomal RNA is filed under the name uncultured bacterium. Its description in RNAcentral is "bacterial SSU rRNA". It matches the Rfam family "Bacterial small subunit ribosomal RNA", at positions 52 to 496 of the family's 1533-position model. The record is from RNAcentral.
CACAUGCAAGUCGAACGGCAGCGGGAAAGAGCUUGCUCUUUUGCCGGCGAGUGGCGCACGGGUGCGUAACGCGUAUACAAUCUACCUUGUACAGGGGUAUAGCCCAGGGAAACUUGGAUUAACACCCCAUAGUAAUAUGUUUUGGCAUCAUCACAUAUUUAAAACUACGGUGGUACAAGAUGAGUAUGCGUCCCAUUAGCUUGUUGGUGUGGUAACGGCACACCAAGGCAGCGAUGGGUAGGGGCCCUGAGAGGGGGAUCCCCCACACUGGUACUGAGACACGGACCAGACUCCUACGGGAGGCAGCAGUGAGGAAUAUUGGACAAUGGGCGAGAGCCUGAUCCAGCCAUGCCGCGUGCAGGAAGACUGCCCUAUGGGUUGUAAACUGCUUUUAUACGGGAAGAAACCCACCUACGUGUAGGUGGCUGACGGUACCGUAAGAAUAAGGACCGG